This 490-nucleotide ribosomal RNA is filed under the name uncultured Acetivibrio sp. RNAcentral describes it as "bacterial SSU rRNA". It matches the Rfam family "Bacterial small subunit ribosomal RNA", at positions 39 to 535 of the family's 1533-position model. Lineage: Bacteria; Bacillati; Bacillota; Clostridia; Acetivibrionales; Acetivibrionaceae. The record is from RNAcentral.
AGGAUGCGGGAGAGGGAAGGAAGGUGUCUGAAAUCCGGCUUCGACUUACGGAUAGCGGCGGACGGGUGAGUAACGCGUGGGCAACCUGCCCCGUACAGCGGGAUAACACCGUGAAAAUGGUGCUAAUACCGCAUGACACAAUAACGCGACAUCGCGAAGUUGUCAAAGGAGAGAUCCGGUACAGGAUGGGCCCGCGUCCAAUUAGCUGGUUGGUGAGGUAACGGCCCACCAAGGCAACGAUUGGUAGCCGAGCUGAGAGGUUGAUCGGCCACAUUGGGACUGAGAUACGGCCCAGACUCCUACGGGAGGCAGCAGUGGGGAAUAUUGCGCAAUGGGGGGAACCCUGACGCAGCAACGCCGCGUGAAGGAAGAAGGUUUUCGGAUCGUAAACUUCUUUGAUUGGGGACGAAAAAAAUGACGGUACCCAAAGAACAAGCCACGGCUAACUACGUGCCAGCAGCCGCGGUAAUACGUAGGUGGCGAGCGUUGU